Molecule: ribosomal RNA, 468 nt
Filed under: uncultured bacterium
Lineage: Bacteria
Description: partial 16S ribosomal RNA
Rfam family: Bacterial small subunit ribosomal RNA
Source: RNAcentral
GACGAACGCUGGCGGCGUGCUUAACACAUGCAAGUCGAACGGAAAGGCCCUGCUUUUGUGGGGUGCUCGAGUGGCGAACGGGUGAGUAACACGUGAGUAACCUGCCCUUGACUUUGGGAUAACUUCAGGAAACUGGGGCUAAUACCGGAUAGGAGCUCCUGCUGCAUGGUGGGGGUUGGAAAGUUUCGGCGGUUGGGGAUGGACUCGCGGCUUAUCAGCUUGUUGGUGGGGUAGCGGCUUACCAAGGCUUUGACGGGUAGCCGGCCUGAGAGGGUGACCGGCCACAUUGGGACUGAGAUACGGCCCAGACUCCUACGGGAGGCAGCAGUGGGGAAUAUUGCACAAUGGGCGGAAGCCUGAUGCAGCAACGCCGCGUGCGGGAUGACGGCCUUCGGGUUGUAAACCGCUUUCGCCUGUGACGAAGCGUGAGUGACGGUAAUGGGUAAAGAAGCACCGGCGAACUACGUG